RNAcentral lists this ribosomal RNA (253 nucleotides) under uncultured bacterium. Its description in RNAcentral is "partial 16S ribosomal RNA". It matches the Rfam family "Bacterial small subunit ribosomal RNA", at positions 524 to 776 of the family's 1533-position model. The record is from RNAcentral.
UACGUAGGGUGCAGGCGUUAAUCGGAAUUACUGGGCGUAAAGCGUGCGCAGGCGGCUUCCUAAGUCAGGUGUGAAAUCCCCGGGCUUAACCUGGGAACUGCGUUUGAAACUGGGGGGCUAGAGUGCGGCAGAGGGGGGUGGAAUUCCACGUGUAGCAGUGAAAUGCGUAGAUAUGUGGAGGAACACCGAUGGCGAAGGCAGCCCCCUGGGCCUGCACUGACGCUCAUGCACGAAAGCGUGGGGAGCAAACAGG